GAUAAGACCCUAAAGUCUUAUCGUGGCUCUGAUACCAAAUGAUAAGACCCUAAAGGUCUUAUCGUCGCUCUGAUACCAAAUGAUAAGACCCUAAAGUCUUAUCGUAGGCUCUGAUACCAAAUGAUAAGACCCUAAAGUCUUAUCGUGGAAGAAAGGGGAGAAAUGGGGAUGAUAAUGAUCGCUUCGAGGGGAUCGGCCUCCUUGAUCGCUUCGAGGGGAUCGGCCCUCCUUGAUCACUUCGAGGGGAUCGGCCUCCUAGGGUUUGUCCAAAGAUAGAAUAGUAUUUUUCAUAGUUUGUGGGUUAGCAUAGCUAGCUAAUGCAUGCAUUGUAUGUGUGAUCGCUUCAAUAUCUUCAUCAGUUUCCAUACCUUCAUAAUCGGAGUCCAACUCUUCUGCUUUCGGUUCCUCUCCAAUUGGCUCAAUUAUCAUAUGUUGCCCUUGUUUACAUUGGUGCUCCAUACUCCACUUUUCAUCAUAGUGCAAACCCUUUGCUGAUCUUUCAUUGAGUUCUUCUUGGGUUAGUCUUCGGGUGUCAAGGCUUUGGUUGGGAAUAGAUGGGGCCGGUGGCAUACUAAUCAUCUGGUUGUUGUCACUUUUAUUUUCAUGAUUUUCCCUGUUGAUUUUUUUCUCAUGUAGAUGUGCGAAUGAGAUCGCAGCUAUCAUAUUGCGGGGUUGACGAGCCUUAACUUCACACCGAAUCUCUGGAAUAAGCCCUUCAAUAAAUGUAUCCAGAAGUUAUCGUUCCGACCAAUCUCUAGCUUGAUUUGAUAAUCUUUCAAACAUACUCU
RNAcentral lists this long non-coding RNA (788 nucleotides) under Musa acuminata (dwarf banana). RNAcentral's name for it is "long non-coding RNA (MACU_LNC008456)". The record is from RNAcentral. Lineage: Eukaryota; Viridiplantae; Streptophyta; Magnoliopsida; Zingiberales; Musaceae.